AGCAGUGGUGGCUGAAUGGUUAAGGCUCUGGGUUACUAAUCAGGAGGCCAUGGGUUCAAGCCCCAGCACUGUCA
Non-coding RNA from Pangasius djambal, 74 nucleotides. NCBI's taxonomy places the organism in Eukaryota, Metazoa, Chordata, Actinopteri, Siluriformes, Pangasiidae. The record is from the annotation of a GenBank genome assembly.